GGUGGAGUGGAGGAGGCGUGGUUUAACUUCUCCCAGCCUCAGUUUGCUCAUCUGUUAAGUGGAGAGAGGUAUAUCUACCUCUGAGGGCUUUUGCAGGGAGCAAGGGGGAGGUCCCGCGUGAAUGUACGUCGCCACCGUCAUCA
Equus caballus (horse) is the source of this 143-nucleotide microRNA precursor. NCBI's taxonomy places the organism in Eukaryota, Metazoa, Chordata, Mammalia, Perissodactyla, Equidae. The record is from Ensembl.